This 231-nucleotide ribosomal RNA is filed under the name uncultured bacterium. RNAcentral's name for it is "partial 16S ribosomal RNA". It matches the Rfam family "Bacterial small subunit ribosomal RNA", at positions 103 to 334 of the family's 1533-position model. The record is from RNAcentral.
CGGGUGAGUAACGCGUGGGUAACCUGCCUCAUACAGGGGGAUAACAGUUAGAAAUGACUGCUAAUACCGCAUAAGCGCACAGUGCUGCAUGGCACAGUGUGAAAAACUCCGGUGGUAUGAGAUGGACCCGCGUCUGAUUAGGUAGUUGGUGGGGUAACGGCCUACCAAGCCGACGAUCAGUAGCCGACCUGAGAGGGUGACCGGCCACAUUGGGACUGAGACACGGCCCAA